RNAcentral lists this ribosomal RNA (258 nucleotides) under uncultured bacterium. RNAcentral describes it as "partial 16S ribosomal RNA". It matches the Rfam family "Bacterial small subunit ribosomal RNA", at positions 793 to 1055 of the family's 1533-position model. The record is from RNAcentral.
GUCCACGCCGUAAACGAUGAUUACUAGGUGUGGGGACUGACCCCUUCCGUGCCGGAGUUAACACAAUAAGUAAUCCACCUGGGGAGUACGGCCGCAAGGCUGAAACUCAAAGGAAUUGACGGGGCCCGCACAAGCAGUGGAGUAUGUGGUUUAAUUCGAAGCAACGCGAAGAACCUUACCAGGUCUUGACAUCGAGUGACGAACAUAGAGAUAUGUUCUUCCUUCGGGACACGAAGACAGGUGGUGCAUGGUUGUCGU